RNAcentral lists this transfer RNA (88 nucleotides) under Pyrobaculum arsenaticum. RNAcentral describes it as "tRNA-Ser". It matches the Rfam family "tRNA". Rfam says of the family: Transfer RNA (tRNA) molecules are approximately 80 nucleotides in length. Their secondary structure includes four short double-helical elements and three loops (D, anti-codon, and T loops). Lineage: Archaea; Thermoproteati; Thermoproteota; Thermoprotei; Thermoproteales; Thermoproteaceae. RNAcentral also lists the same sequence under 2 other names. The record is from RNAcentral.
GCCGGGGUGGCCGAGCGGCCCAAGGCGCGGGACUCGAGAUCCCGUCCCCGUCCAGGGGGCGUGGGUUCAAAUCCCACCCCCGGCGCCA